RNAcentral lists this ribosomal RNA (483 nucleotides) under Burkholderia pseudomallei 354e. RNAcentral's name for it is "bacterial SSU rRNA". It matches the Rfam family "Bacterial small subunit ribosomal RNA", at positions 197 to 661 of the family's 1533-position model. Lineage: Bacteria; Pseudomonadati; Pseudomonadota; Betaproteobacteria; Burkholderiales; Burkholderiaceae. The record is from RNAcentral.
AGGAUGAAAGCGGGGGACCUUCGGGCCUCGCGCUAUAGGGUUGGCCGAUGGCUGAUUAGCUAGUUGGUGGGGUAAAGGCCUACCAAGGCGACGAUCAGUAGCUGGUCUGAGAGGACGACCAGCCACACUGGGACUGAGACACGGCCCAGACUCCUACGGGAGGCAGCAGUGGGGAAUUUUGGACAAUGGGCGCAAGCCUGAUCCAGCAAUGCCGCGUGUGUGAAGAAGGCCUUCGGGUUGUAAAGCACUUUUGUCCGGAAAGAAAUCAUUCUGGCUAAUACCCGGAGUGGAUGACGGUACCGGAAGAAUAAGCACCGGCUAACUACGUGCCAGCAGCCGCGGUAAUACGUAGGGUGCGAGCGUUAAUCGGAAUUACUGGGCGUAAAGCGUGCGCAGGCGGUUUGCUAAGACCGAUGUGAAAUCCCCGGGCUCAACCUGGGAACUGCAUUGGUGACUGGCAGGCUAGAGUAUGGCAGAGGGGGG